This 240-nucleotide long non-coding RNA is filed under the name Gallus gallus (chicken). The record is from RNAcentral. Lineage: Eukaryota; Metazoa; Chordata; Aves; Galliformes; Phasianidae.
GCCUGCUCCCCCUUUCCAAAUGUGUGGACCCUUGGCACAGGGCGGCAGGGCCCAUUCUCCUGAUACUUGUUCCAGUCCUGUCCCGUUACGCUGUUACUGCCCCACACCGUUAUCCCCGUGGCAGUCCUGGUUCCAAUCCUGGUUUCAUUAUCUGAUCUGCAUCCCCGUUCCCACCCCACCAUCCCAGCUGUGGUUCUGGUCCCGUCCCAUUAUUCCCAUCCCUCCGACCCACUCCCAUUC